UAAAUAGAAGCUAAAAGCAUUUAAUUUCGACUUAAAUUUAGGGUAAAAUUACCCCUAUUUAA
This 62-nucleotide transfer RNA is filed under the name Goera martynowi. RNAcentral describes it as "tRNA-Arg". The record is from RNAcentral. Lineage: Eukaryota; Metazoa; Arthropoda; Insecta; Trichoptera; Goeridae.